This 483-nucleotide ribosomal RNA is filed under the name uncultured bacterium. RNAcentral's name for it is "partial 16S ribosomal RNA". It matches the Rfam family "Bacterial small subunit ribosomal RNA", at positions 28 to 523 of the family's 1533-position model. The record is from RNAcentral.
GACGAACGCUGGCGGCGUGCUUAACACAUGCAAGUCGAACGAUGAAGCCCAGCUUGCUGGGUGGAUUAGUGGCGAACGGGUGAGUAACACGUGAGUAACCUGCCCCUGACUCUGGGAUAAGCGUUGGAAACGACGUCUAAUACUGGAUAUGACCACUGGUCGCAUGGCCUGGUGGUGGAAAGAUUUUUUGGUUGGGGAUGGACUCGCGGUCUAUCAGCUUGUUGGUGGGGUAAUGGCUCACCAAGGCGACGACGGGUAGCCGGCCUGAGAGGGUGACCGGCCACACUGGGACUGAGACACGGCCCAGACUCCUACGGGAGGCAGCAGUGGGGAAUAUUGCACAAUGGGCGAAAGCCUGAUGCAGCAACGCCGCGUGAGGGAUGACGGCCUUCGGGUUGUAAACCUCUUUUAGUAGGGAAGAAGCGAAAGUGACGGUACCUGCAGAAAAAGCACCGGCUAACUACGUGCCAGCCGCCGCCGUAA